CACGUAGGGCGCAAGCGUUGUCCGGAAUUAUUGGGCGUAAAGAGCUUGUAGGCGGUUUGUCGCGUCUGCUGUGAAAUUUCGGGGCUCAACCCCGAACUUGCAGUGGGUACGGGCAGACUAGAGUGUGGUAGGGGAGACUGGAAUUCCUGGUGUAGCGGUGAAAUGCGCAGAUAUCAGGAGGAACACCGAUGGCGAAGGCAGGUCUCUGGGCCGAUACUGACGCUGAGGAGCGAAAGCGUGGGGAGCGAACAGG
This 253-nucleotide ribosomal RNA is filed under the name uncultured bacterium. RNAcentral describes it as "partial 16S ribosomal RNA". It matches the Rfam family "Bacterial small subunit ribosomal RNA", at positions 524 to 776 of the family's 1533-position model. The record is from RNAcentral.